Molecule: signal recognition particle RNA, 99 nt
Filed under: Actinomycetota bacterium
Lineage: Bacteria; Bacillati; Actinomycetota
Description: signal recognition particle sRNA small type
Rfam family: Bacterial small signal recognition particle RNA
About the family: The signal recognition particle (SRP) is a universally conserved ribonucleoprotein involved in the co-translational targeting of proteins to membranes. Archaeal SRP consists of a 7S RNA and homologues of the eukaryotic SRP19 and SRP54 proteins.
Source: RNAcentral
GGUCGGGUCCUGCGCAAGGAUGCACCGUGAACCGGGUCAGGGCCUGACGGCAGCAGCUCUCAGCGGAUCGCAACCUGUGCCGCAGAUAGCCUGACCGCU